GCCAGGAAUGCGUCCGGGGAGGGCGCGCGGUGGGCGCGCGCCAGCCUCGGGGACGCGCGCCCAGGUCUGAAGAGUGGAGGCCGGGCUCCCCUGCUGCGGGCGCACGGUCCCCGGGGACGUCACAACGCUGGAAUCCGAGGAAUGCCAGGCUGCGGGAGCUCCGUCGGCAGGCCGGGCAGAAGUCGUGCACUUUUAAUGGGCUAGCUCUGGAGCGUGUCUUCCUUCCAAGAGUGGACUCUGUCCUUGAACAGGAACCAGCCCUCACAUCUACAUUCCCAAACAAAAGCAUCGGGCUGAGUCAUGAGCCCAGGAUGGGAAGGAAGAUUCUCACAAAUGAGAGGCCCAGGGGUGAUCUGGUCACACCCAGUCUGCCAGCAGACCCUGAGGGCUGAAAAGCCAC
This 400-nucleotide long non-coding RNA is filed under the name Meriones unguiculatus (Mongolian gerbil). RNAcentral's name for it is "lncRNA (ENSMUGG00000010783.1)". Lineage: Eukaryota; Metazoa; Chordata; Mammalia; Rodentia; Muridae. The record is from RNAcentral.